RNAcentral lists this ribosomal RNA (500 nucleotides) under uncultured bacterium. RNAcentral describes it as "bacterial SSU rRNA". It matches the Rfam family "Bacterial small subunit ribosomal RNA", at positions 355 to 842 of the family's 1533-position model. The record is from RNAcentral.
UGGGGAAUAUUGGACAAUGGGCGCAAGCCUGAUCCAGCAACGCCGCGUGGAGGACGAAGGCCUUAGGGUCGUAAACUCCUGUCAGUAGGGACGAAAAAGUAGGGUCGAACAGGCCCUGCCAUUGACGGUACCUGCAGAGGAAGCCCCGGCUAACUCCGUGCCAGCAGCCGCGGUAAUACGGAGGGUGCGAGCGUUAAUCGGAAUUACUGGGCGUAAAGAGCUCGUAGGCGGUCCGUUGCGUCUGCCGUGAAAACCCGGAGCUCAACUCCGGGCCUGCGGUGGAUACGGGCGGACUAGAGUCCGGUAGGGGAGACUGGAAUUCCUGGUGUAGCGGUGGAAUGCGCAGAUAUCAGGAGGAACACCGGUGGCGAAGGCGGGGUCUCUGGGCCGGAACUGACGCUGAGGAGCGAAAGCGUGGGGAGCGAACAGGAUUAGAUACCCUGGUAGUCCACGCCGUAAACGGUGGGCGCUAGGUGUGGGGAUCGUUUGCCACGAUCUCC